This 331-nucleotide ribosomal RNA is filed under the name uncultured bacterium. Its description in RNAcentral is "bacterial SSU rRNA". It matches the Rfam family "Bacterial small subunit ribosomal RNA", at positions 568 to 898 of the family's 1533-position model. The record is from RNAcentral.
CGUGUAGGCGGGAAAGAAAGUCAGGAGUGAAAUCCCACGGCUUAACUGUGGAGCUGCUUCUGAAACUUCUUUUCUUGAGUGUCGGAGAGGAAAGUGGAAUUCCAAGUGUAGCGGUGAAAUGCGUAGAGAUUUGGAGGAACACCAGUGGCGAAGGCGGCUUUCUGGACGAUAACUGACGCUGAGGCGCGAAAGCGUGGGGAGCAAACAGGAUUAGAUACCCUGGUAGUCCACGCUGUAAACGAUGGAUACUAGGUGUAGGAGGUAUCGACCCCUUCUGUGCCGCAGUUAACACAAUAAGUAUCCCACCUGGGGAUACGGCCGCAAGGUUGAA